AUACGAAGGGUGCAAGCGUUAAUCGGAAUUACUGGGCGUAAAGCGUGCGCAGGCGGUUUUGUAAGACAGUGGUGAAAUCCCCGGGCUCAACCUGGGAACUGCCAUUGUGACUGCAAGGCUGGAGUGCGGCAGAGGGGGAUGGAAUUCCGCGUGUAGCAGUGAAAUGCGUAGAUAUGCGGAGGAACACCGAUGGCGAAGGCAAUCCCCUGGGCCUGCACUGACGCUCAUGCACGAAAGCGUGGGGAGCAAACAGGAUUAGAUACCCUGGUAGUCCACGCCCUAAACGAUGUCAACUGGUUGUUGGGUCUUCAUUGACUCAGUGACGAAGCUAACGCGUGAAGUUGACCGCCUGGGGAGUACGGCCGCAAGGUUGAAACUCAAAUGAAUUGACGGGG
RNAcentral lists this ribosomal RNA (395 nucleotides) under uncultured bacterium. RNAcentral's name for it is "partial 16S ribosomal RNA". It matches the Rfam family "Bacterial small subunit ribosomal RNA", at positions 523 to 918 of the family's 1533-position model. The record is from RNAcentral.